GGUCUUGUAGUCAAAUAUGACAUUAAGUUGCAAACUUAAGGGUGAAGGGUUUCUAAGGCCU
This 61-nucleotide transfer RNA is filed under the name Histeridae sp. BMNH 1274329. RNAcentral's name for it is "tRNA-Cys". The record is from RNAcentral. Lineage: Eukaryota; Metazoa; Arthropoda; Insecta; Coleoptera; Histeridae.